Molecule: ribosomal RNA, 418 nt
Filed under: bacterium enrichment culture clone ALO1_GLFRUDD03GALKV
Lineage: Bacteria
Description: bacterial SSU rRNA
Rfam family: Bacterial small subunit ribosomal RNA
Source: RNAcentral
GAGUUUGAUCGUGGCUCAGAUUGAACGCUGGCGGCAUGCCUUACACAUGCAAGUCGAACGGCAGCACGGGAGCUUGCUCCUGGUGGCGAGUGGCGAACGGGUGAGUAAUGCAUCGGAACGUAUCCUGGAGUGGGGGAUAACGUAGCGAAAGUUACGCUAAUACCGCAUAUUCUGUGAGCAGGAAAGCGGGGGGACCUUCGGGCCUCGCGCUCUUGGAGCGGCCGAUGUCGGAUUAGCUAGUUGGUGAGGUAAAGGCUCACCAAGGCGACGAUCCGUAGCAGGCCUGAGAGGAUGAUCUGCCACACUGGAACUGAGACACGGUCCAGACUCCUACGGGAGGCAGCAGUGGGAAUUUUGGACAAUGGGGGCAACCCUGAUCCAGCCAUGCCGCGUGAGUGAAGAAGGCCUCGGUUGUAAG